UCCUUGGUGGCUCAGAUGGUAAAGCGUCUGCCUACAAUGUGGGAGACCCAGGUUCAAUCCCUGGAUUGGGAA
RNAcentral lists this transfer RNA (72 nucleotides) under Ovis aries (sheep). It matches the Rfam family "tRNA". From Rfam's summary of the family: Transfer RNA (tRNA) molecules are approximately 80 nucleotides in length. Their secondary structure includes four short double-helical elements and three loops (D, anti-codon, and T loops). Lineage: Eukaryota; Metazoa; Chordata; Mammalia; Artiodactyla; Bovidae. The record is from Rfam by way of RNAcentral.